This 439-nucleotide ribosomal RNA is filed under the name uncultured bacterium. Its description in RNAcentral is "partial 16S ribosomal RNA". It matches the Rfam family "Bacterial small subunit ribosomal RNA", at positions 338 to 795 of the family's 1533-position model. The record is from RNAcentral.
CCUACGAGAGGCAGCAGUAGGGAAUUUUGCGCAAUGGGCGAAAGCCUGACGCAGCAACGCCGCGUGAUCGAGACGCCCUUCGGGGUGUAAAGAUCUGUCAGAGGGGACGAAACUUGAAGGUACCCACAGAGGAAGCACCGGCUAACUCCGUGCCAGCAGCCGAGGGAAUACGGGGGUGCAAGCGUUGUCCGGAAUCAUUGGGCGUAAAGAGUUCGUAGGCGGCAUGGAAAGUCUGGUGUUAAAGGCAGAGGCUCAACUUCUGUACGGAACUGGAAACUUGCGAGCUAGAAUGCGGGAGGGGUAGAGGGAAUUCCUGGUGUAGCGGUGAAAUGCUUAGAUAUCAGGAGGAACAUCGGUGGCGUAGGCGCUUUCCUGGGCCGUAAUUGACGCUGAGGAACGAAAGCCAGGGUAGCAAAUGGGAUUAGAUACCCGAGUAGUC